UACGAAGGGGGCUAGCGUUGUUCGGAAUUACUGGGCGUAAAGCGUAUGCAGGCGGAUCGUUAAGUCGGGGGUGAAAUCCCGAGGCUCAACCUCGGAACUGCCUUCGAUACUGGCGAUCUUGAGUCCGGAAGAGGAGAGUGGAAUUCCUGGUGUAGCGGUGAAAUGCGCAGAUAUCAGGAAGAACACCAAUGGCGAAAGCAGCUCUCUGGGACGGUACUGACGCUGAGACGCGAAAGCGUGGGGAGCGAACAGG
RNAcentral lists this ribosomal RNA (253 nucleotides) under uncultured bacterium. RNAcentral's name for it is "partial 16S ribosomal RNA". It matches the Rfam family "Bacterial small subunit ribosomal RNA", at positions 524 to 776 of the family's 1533-position model. The record is from RNAcentral.